Molecule: ribosomal RNA, 254 nt
Filed under: uncultured bacterium
Lineage: Bacteria
Description: partial 16S ribosomal RNA
Rfam family: Bacterial small subunit ribosomal RNA
Source: RNAcentral
UACAGGGGGGGCAAGCGUUGUUCGGAAUUACUGGGCGUAAAGGGCUCGUAGGUGGCCAACUAAGUCAGACGUGAAAUCCCUCAGCUUAACUGGGGAACUGCGUCUGAUACUGGAUGGCUUGAGUUUGGGAGAGGGACGCGGAAUUCCAGGUGUAGCGGUGAAAUGCGUAGAUAUCUGGAGGAACACCGGUGGCGAAGGCGGCGUCCUGGACCAAUACUGACACUGAGUGAGCGAAAGCCAGGGGAGCAAACGGG